Molecule: ribosomal RNA, 252 nt
Filed under: uncultured bacterium
Lineage: Bacteria
Description: partial 16S ribosomal RNA
Rfam family: Bacterial small subunit ribosomal RNA
Source: RNAcentral
CACGGGGGAGCAAGCGUUGUUCGGAAUCACUGGGCGUAAAGGGCGUGUAGGCGGUUCGGGAAGUGGAAUGUGAAAUCCCUCGGCUCACCCGAGGACCUGCAUCCCAAACUGCCGAGCUUGAGUAUGGGAGAGGAUGAGGGAAUUCCUGGUGUAGCGGUGAAAUGCGUAGAUAUCAGGAGGAACACCGGUGGCGAAGGCGCUCAUCUGGCCCAAUACUGACGCUGAGGCGCGAAAGCUAGGGGAGCAAACGGG